UACGGGGGGAGCAAGCGUUGUUCGGAUUUACUGGGCGUAAAGAGCUCGUAGGUGGUUUGUCGCGUUGUUCGUGAAAACUCACAGCUCAACUGUGGGCGUGCGGGCGAUACGGGCAGACUAGAGUACUGCAGGGGAGACUGGAAUUCCUGGUGUAGCGGUGGAAUGCGCAGAUAUCAGGAGGAACACCGGUGGCGAAGGCGGGUCUCUGGGCAGUAACUGACGCUGAGGAGCGAAAGCGUGGGGAGCGAACAGG
Molecule: ribosomal RNA, 253 nt
Filed under: uncultured bacterium
Lineage: Bacteria
Description: partial 16S ribosomal RNA
Rfam family: Bacterial small subunit ribosomal RNA
Source: RNAcentral